UCGAGGGAACUGAGCCGGCAAAAAGCGAUCCAGUACACCCAAAGUAAAAGGUCCGAGAAAGACAAACCCACGCGCACGCGCACGGCUACAAAUUUUGGUCUCCACUCUCCAGGAACUGAGCCAGCGAGCGACGGAGAUGGCUGCGAAGGUGCCCUGCUGCGGGACGACGUUCUUUAUUUACGUGCUGAUAAUCAUAGGCCUGGUUUGCUUCGCCGGAUUGAUGGCCGGACUCACUCUCGGCCUCAUGUCCCUCGGCCUCGUCGACCUCGAGGUCCUCAUGAAGUCCGGCCAACCUCAGGAUCGCAAGCACGCCGCUAAAAUCUAUCCGGUGGUGAAGAAUCAGCACCUGUUACUUUGCACGCUUUUAAUCGGAAACGCGUUAGCAAUGGAGGCUCUUCCGGUUUUUUUGGAUAGUCUUGUGCCUCCUUGGGCGGCUAUUGUGAUAUCAGUCACUCUCAUUCUGGUGUUUGGGGAGAUAUUGCCACAAGCAGUGUGCACUCGCUUUGGAUUGACUGUUGGGGCGGCAAUGGCCCCGUUUGUGCGUGUUCUUCUUGUUCUUUUCCUCCCCAUUUCGUAUCCCAUUAGUAAGGUUUUGGAUUAUAUGUUGGGUAAGGGACAUUCUGCCCUUUUACGAAGAGCAGAGCUAAAGACUUUUGUGGAUUUUCACGGAAAUGAGGCUGGGAAAGGCGGGGAUUUAACACAUGAUGAGACUACCAUCAUUGCUGGAGCACUUGAAAUGACUGAAAAGACUGCAAAAGAUGCCAUGACUCCCAUAUCAAAUGCAUUUUCCCUUGAUCUGGAUGCACCUCUUACUUUGGACACAUUGAAUGCAAUAAUGGCAAUGGGUCAUAGUAGAGUUCCAGUUUAUGCUGGGAAGCCCGGAAAUAUAAUUGGUCUAGUUCUGGUUAAGAAUCUCUUGAUGGUUGAUCCAGAAGAUGGAGUUACUUUAAGAAAACUGAUGAUACGAAAAAUUCCUCGGGUUUCGGAAGACAUGCCUCUGUAUGAUAUACUAAAUGAAUUUCAGAAAGGUCACAGUCACAUUGCUGUCGUCUAUAAGGAUAUAAGUGGGAAAAAGGAUGCACUAAAGAAUGGCAAGGAUGGUGAAACACCCGUGUUUAAGGAUGACUGUAAGAAGCAAGCAGGCGAAUCUGGGGCGUCAUUCAAGAAAGAUGAAAAAGUGGGUUCAAACAAUGCUCAGAGUGCCUUGGACAAUGGUGACGGAGGUCAACAAGCGAAGAAAAGCCCAUCAGCUACACCCGCUUUUAAGAAACGACACAGAGGCUGUUCACAUUGCAUUCUGGACGUUGAGAAUGGUCCCAUUCCAGUUUUCCCAGACAAUGAAGAGGUUGUAGGAGUAAUUACCAUGGAGGAUGUCAUUGAAGAACUUCUUCAGGAAGAGAUAUUGGACGAAACAGAUGAGUAUGUCAAUAUCCACAACAGGAUUAAGGUCAAUAUGCAUGCAUCUCAGGACAAGCCUUCUGACUCGAACUCAGCCGAUCCUUCCAGAGAGUGGUCAUCUGUCACUGACGCCCCACUGCUAACAUCAGCGUCAGUGCCAUCAGAUUUGGGUUCUACUCAACAUCAAGACGAUGGUAAGGUGUGAUGCCAACGGACUCACACACCGCAGCUCAUCAAGGUUCUGAACAUGACACGUCAAGAGAUCGCUAUUGUGUGCAGUACGCAUCCAUGGCGUGCCCGGAGGACAUAAACCCGAAACUUUCUCAUGACGGUCCUUUUUUCAUCAAUGGCGGUCGCCGCAAAGUGCAGAUAAAAUCCAACCUUCCUUCUUCCACGUGAGUUCCAGCCUCUGAGGUGACUGACACGACCACCUUAUCAGCAACGCCCCGACACGACAACAUAACUACCUCAAUCCUACAUAAAUCCAUCAUUUUUCAAUGUAUUUUUCUGAAGUUACUACGAACUGGUUUGGUAUUGAUGUG
This is an RNA transcript of Pyrus x bretschneideri (Chinese white pear), 1940 nucleotides long. It is a transcript of the gene named DUF21 domain-containing protein At1g47330, with no coding region annotated. The transcript is spliced from 13 exons. NCBI's taxonomy places the organism in Eukaryota, Viridiplantae, Streptophyta, Magnoliopsida, Rosales, Rosaceae. The record is from RefSeq and is a predicted model, not a curated record.